ACUCCUACGGGAGGCAGCAGUGGGGAAUAUUGGACAAUGGGGGCAACCCUGAUCCAGCCAUGCCGCGUGAGUGAAGAAGGCCCUAGGGUCGUAAAGCUCUUUCAACUGUGAAGAUAAUGACGGUAGCAAGUAGGAAGAAAAUCCCCGGNUAACUCCGUGCCAGCAGCCGCGGUAAUACGGAGGGGGUUAGCGUUGUUCGGAAUUACUGGGCGUAAAGCGCACGUAGGCGGACUAUUAAGUUAGAGGUGAAAUCCCAGGGCUCAACCCUGGAACUGCCUUUAAUACUGGUAGUCUUGAGUUCGAGAGAGGUGAG
This 313-nucleotide ribosomal RNA is filed under the name uncultured bacterium. Its description in RNAcentral is "bacterial SSU rRNA". It matches the Rfam family "Bacterial small subunit ribosomal RNA", at positions 335 to 661 of the family's 1533-position model. The record is from RNAcentral.